This 253-nucleotide ribosomal RNA is filed under the name uncultured bacterium. RNAcentral's name for it is "partial 16S ribosomal RNA". It matches the Rfam family "Bacterial small subunit ribosomal RNA", at positions 524 to 776 of the family's 1533-position model. The record is from RNAcentral.
UACAGAGGUCCCAAGCGUUGUUCGGAAUUACUGGGCGUAAAGCGCGUGUAGGCGGCAGCGUAAGUCGGGCGUGAAAUCCCACGGCUCAACCGUGGAAGUGCACUCGAAACUGCGCAGCUAGAGUCCUGGAGAGGAAGGUGGAAUGCUUGGUGUAGAGGUGAAAUUCGUAGAUAUCAAGCGGAACACCGGUGGCGAAGGCGGCCUUCUGGACAGUGACUGACGCUGAGACGCGAAAGCGUGGGGAGCAAACAGG